RNAcentral lists this ribosomal RNA (299 nucleotides) under uncultured bacterium. Its description in RNAcentral is "partial 16S ribosomal RNA". It matches the Rfam family "Bacterial small subunit ribosomal RNA", at positions 32 to 313 of the family's 1533-position model. The record is from RNAcentral.
AAUCAACGCUGGCGGCGUGCCUAACACAUGCAAGUCGAACGAGAUAGUGACUUCGGUCACUGGAAAGUGGCGUCCGGGUGAGUAACACGUGGGUAAUCUACCCUUGGGUGGGAAUAACGGAUCGAAAGAUUCGCUAAUACCGCAUAAUGCAGCGGCACCUAAUGGUGAAUAGUUGUUAAAGCGGGGGAUCGCAAGACCUCGCGCCUGAAGAGGAGCCUGCGGCAGAUUAGCUAGUUGGUGAGGUAAUGGCUCACCAAGGCUUCGAUCUGUAGCUGGUCUGAGAGGACGGCCAGCCACAC